UCUCAAUCUUCAUUCUAAUCGUCAUCCACAAAACACGCCCCUUAUGCCAUUAUGUUAACAGCAAAGCGCUCUCUCUCUUGGCAGUGAAGGGGCGACACUCCUCUAUAUCUCAGUUCAUUUCUUUUCUGAAAAAAAUUUCCCCAUUUUUUCUUUGCCAGACAGAAAACCUCAUAUCUUCGUCACUGUUGGUUGUCUUUGUGGCUUCAAUCACCGUCCCAAUCUUCAUUCUAACGUCAUUCAACUGUUUCGUAGUAGUAAUGUCCUCUCAAUCGUCAUUUAACUCGCCGAUCACUGUACUUCAAAGUUUUGGUGAUGGCAAGUGUUGCAAACCUGAAUGCAUGGCUAUUGGUUCCAGCAGCACUCAUUAGCUCUUCCAGCAGGUUCCAGGCACAGCUCCUUCCAACAGGUUCAACAAUCCCAGUUUCUUCUCAAUGACAGCCACAACAACAGCCAUAGCAAUGCUCAACAACCACAAGAAACUUUGUAUAAGCCAAAGCAAAUAUAAUCAUCACCAAUAUUUCACCAAUCAAUCCACAAUUAAUCACAAGAUCAAAUGGGAACAGUAAUACCAAUUGUUUGUAAUAUUAACUGAAAGAGAAAAUGAAACUGAUGAAGAAAUAAAGGUUACUAGGUUUCCAGAGCCAGCCCUCUCCAAUACACUAUGUAAUUCAUUACAAAAUCAAAUAACAAACUGAACAUAUUCUUCUCUGCCAACAUUUAGCAUGCACGGAAGGGAAACUUCAACUAAUUUCAGCUGUUCUGGUGAAUUGUCCAAACUGCCCCUACUCACUUGGUCAUUACUUUUGCUUUCUGCUGGCCAGCAUUCACAACCAUUGGGCUGCCUCCUGGAAACUCCCCUUUUGGCCUUCGAAAGUAGACUUUUGUGAUUAGAUUUCCAUCAAAAAGCUAUCAAUGCAUCUGCUAUCAGCAUAAGGGCUCAUGGAAGACAUCUAACCUCUUGUACGAGCUUCAAGGUCUAGCUAGUGCAUUGAUAAAGCUGCAGAACCUUUUGGAGGCACUUGUCAUUGAGCAAUGAAAAUUUGACCAUGUUACUAGUUUAGUUUCUUCCUCAGUUGAUGAAGAUGAAGUUGUGAGACAAGGAUGCCUUGCUAUAGUUGUUAUUAAGCAGGCGUAGGUUGAGGUAGAACGAUUAAAUAAUCUGAAAGCCAGCAAGAUGAAAGAGUUGGUGUUCUAAAGGCAAAAUGAGCUUGAAGAAAUCUACAGAGGGGUUCAUAUGGAUGUAGAUAGUGAUGCAGAGAGUGGCUUGAUGAAUAUAAAAAGGUAAUUACCUGAAAGCGGAAAUAAAUAGUUCCAGGAUCAUAGAAAAUUCAUAUCCGAAUUCAAUGUGUACAUUCUCUGAUAAUGUUUGAUAAUCCACCCGUUGCGAUUAUUAAUCUACAACACAAUUUGCCCUUGUUGUUCUUUUUGUAUUUUGUGAUCUUAGUUUUCUAGUUAUUUUUAGAGAAGAAGAAGAAGUAGAGAGUGUUCUAGAGUUCCUUUCUCCAAAAGUUACGUAACUUCUAUUUUUAAUAUUAAGCAGCUGUUAAGAAUUCAAACUUUGAAAUCCCAACUAUUAUUAACUUUUUUAGCAGAAAAGUAAUUUUCUUUGUUAGGGUUAAUUAGACAUUUCAAUCCUAACGGUCGGGUCAACCCAUCGUGGGUGGACUGGAUCCAAUAUUAGCAUUAAUAAACUAUUUAUAUUAUGUGCCAAUGCAAUAUGGUUGGUCUAUUAGCUCAUGGAGUUCUUAUGCCAAAUUCAUAUUGACAUGCAGGAUCAUUUGAAUGUUUUAGGAUCCCAGAAAAUUAAAUACAAGUCAAAUAAUAUCUGGUGAUGCAUCAAAUUGGAACAUGAUUUGAACUCCUGUUUUGUUGAAGUACUUAUGUAUUUGAAGGUACUAAACUGCUACUCUGUUUAUUUCAUUCUUUUCUUUCUCUUUUCUCAUAUCCAUAUGAUGAAAAUCGAUAUAGUACUGGUAGCGGAGCACACAAGAAUCUGAAAUGUGCUGAGAAAGCUCAAAUUCUUGUCAACAAAAUAACAUGUGAGCAUACAAUUAUCUUUCAUGAAAGUACUUGCUGGACACUUAUCAUUUGUUUGAUUUUGAUUGGGAAACUUCAUGGAUUCCAGCCUUUUGAUUGUUCUUUGUGAUCCUUUUUUUUACCUUAAAGCAAUUCCAACUCCCAACAUGGUGAAUUGAACUUGUCUCUUGAGUUGUUUGUUGUAGUAGACAUAGAAGCCAUGUCUAACCUUCCAAAUGCAAUGUCGAAACUUUUAAAUAACGGUUUUUGCAUAGGGACACUAAAACCAGGUGAGCUUUUGUGUUCACAUGAAUUGCUCAUUUGUUAUUGCUUUUUUUUUUUUUCUAAAGAUGUGCUUUGUGUUCUAAUUCGGCCACUGCUGAGCUAUUUCUUUGCUACUUUAAAUAUUUUUUAUCCUAAUUUUCAGCUACAAUAGCCAUAGCAGUCUGUUAAUUUAUAUUCUAAUUGGUUAAAUAUAAUUUAAUUGAUUUUUUUCUUUUUUGUUUAAGGAUGGUGGAAAGAAGAGUGGGCAUUUUACUUUAUGAUUGUUAAAGAGGCUUGUGAUUUAGGGGUCUUUUGACGGUUUCUUUCAUCCAAAAUUUAAAUUUUCUUAUUGGAUUAUGAUGAGGUGUGUUAAAAUUGUUCAUGUUAACUACUUAUUAUACAAAUUUAUUACUUAAAUUUGAAUUAAAAAUUAUUUUGUUAUAAUA
Molecule: long non-coding RNA, 2726 nt
Organism: Mangifera indica (mango)
Lineage: Eukaryota; Viridiplantae; Streptophyta; Magnoliopsida; Sapindales; Anacardiaceae
Exons: 5
Source: RefSeq, a predicted model, not a curated record